CCUACGGAGGGCUGCAGUGGGGAAUAUUGCACAAUGGGCGCAAGCCUGAUGCAGCGACGCCGCGUGAGCGAUGAAGGCCUUCGGGUCGUAAAGCUCUGUCCUAAGGGAAGAAUAAUGACGGUACCUUAGGAGGAAGACCCGGCUAACUACGUGCCAGCAGCCGCGGUAAUACGUAGGGGGCGAGCGUUAUCCGGAAUCACUGGGCGUAAAGGAGGCGUAGGCGGCACUGUAAGUCAGGAGUUAAAUCCCUCGGCUCAACCGAGGUCAGCAUUUGAAACUGUAGGGCGUGAGUGCUGGAGAGGAGAGCGAAAUUCCUAGUGUAGCGGUGAAAUGCGUAGAUAUUAGGAUGAACACCAGUGGCGAAGGCGGCUAUCUGGACUGCAACUGACGCUGAGGAACGAAAGCGUGGGGAGCUAACAGGAUUAGAUGCCCGGUUAGUC
RNAcentral lists this ribosomal RNA (440 nucleotides) under uncultured bacterium. RNAcentral describes it as "bacterial SSU rRNA". It matches the Rfam family "Bacterial small subunit ribosomal RNA", at positions 338 to 795 of the family's 1533-position model. The record is from RNAcentral.